CGCAUCUGUGCAUGCAGCAUAUCAAUAAGCGGAGGAAAAGAAACUAACAAGGAUUCCCCUAGUAACGGCGAGUGAAGCGGGAAGAGCUCAAAUUUGAAAUCUUAAAGGGUUUCCCUUUACGAAUUGUAGUUUAAAGAAGUGUUUUCUGUUGAGGUUUUGGUAAAAGUUCUUUGGAAUAGGACAUCAUAGAGGGUGAGAAUCCCGUAUUUGACCUUUACUUUCAACUUUGUGAUACACUUUCAAAGAGUCGGAUUGUUUGGGAAUGCAGUCCAAAAUGGGUGGUAAAUUUCAUCUAAAGCUAAAUAUUGGCGAGAGACCGAUAGCGAACAAGUACCGUGAGGGAAAGAUGAAAAGAACUUUGAAAAGAGAGUUAAACAGUACGUGAAAUUGUCAAAAGGGAAGCGUUUGACACCAGUGUUGUUUUUCUGAAAAUCAAUUAAAGAACUGUUUAUGCUAAGUUGUUUAGACUUUAUCAGCUAUCUGUUUAGUUUUGAGCUUUUCUUUAAUGCACUUUUCAGUUAACAAGUCAACAUCAAUUUCUUUUGCUGUAAAAAAGCUUGAGGAAGGUGGCUUGAGAUUCGUCUUAAGUGUUUAUAGCCUCUUGCCUAUGCAGUCGGAGAGAUCGAGGUCUGCAGCGUAGAUCCUUCGGGGCUAAAUGCAUUUGUGCUAAGUUAUAGCAUUUUAUAGACAACUUGUUGACUAUGAUUUGUCUUGUAGCUUACUCGCUUAUGUUAUUUUACCUACGCUUAGGAUGUUGACAGCAGUAUAGACUGU
This 774-nucleotide ribosomal RNA is filed under the name uncultured Neocallimastigales. Its description in RNAcentral is "partial large subunit ribosomal RNA". It matches the Rfam family "Eukaryotic large subunit ribosomal RNA", at positions 26 to 629 of the family's 3401-position model. Lineage: Eukaryota; Fungi; Neocallimastigomycota; Neocallimastigomycetes; Neocallimastigales. The record is from RNAcentral.